This is a long non-coding RNA of Hemicordylus capensis (graceful crag lizard), 1899 nucleotides long. RefSeq lists it as uncharacterized. The transcript has 4 exons. NCBI's taxonomy places the organism in Eukaryota, Metazoa, Chordata, Lepidosauria, Squamata, Cordylidae. The record is from RefSeq and is a predicted model, not a curated record.
AGUAACAGGCAGCUGCUGGUGCUGGAAGAAGCUCCCUGCUCAGGAGAUUUCCCUGGCUGUUGCCAAGUAAGGCACAGGAGUUCUCAUGACACCAAGCCACGCCACAGCAGUGGGAGGUCACAAGUGAGGGCUUUCAUGCAGAAUGCCAAUGGGCUACCCUUCAGGGUAGCUUCACCAAUGGGUGAAGCUUCAGUUUGUGCUGUGUCGGUAGAUGAAAUACUCGCUCUCCCAGAGUGCUCCAUGUGAAUUCUCAGUGCUGCUUCAUCCUCACCACCUGGCCUGUGUGUGAUGGACUUAAGGCCUGUGUGCAGCUGCCCUGUGGGGUCUGUAUUGAUUUUGGAGCUCCAGGCUGGUACUUGGAGAUCUACAUAACAAGCAGCAGCAUCCAGAUGACGAACAGGUCAUUCCCGCUCCUUAAGGCACGGUGUCUCUUUGUGCAGAUCCUCCUGCUCUUCCUUGCCACACUCGAGGAGGAGCAGACAUGACUUUACUUCCUGAGUACUGCCACCUUCAGCCAGAACUUGAACAGACACCUUUUGAUUUGCACCUGGUAGUGGAACAACAGCCAUUGGAUUGACAAUGUUUCUGCCAGUCUCCUCAGCUGUCUUCUAAUAGUGGUUUGAUAUGGAGGAAUGAACAGGUGGCAUUUCACGGCAUUCCUUGAUAUACAGAAAUGAGCAGGGAGCUUUUCACACAGCAGGCUUUACCAUGAAUUUACUGCGAGACUGUACUGUGAGUUCGAAGUUGCCCAAAAAAACCAAUGCAAUUUUUUUUUUUAACCCUGGAUAUAAACCAGGCUACAUUCUAAUGCACAAUGAAAAACCUGAAUCUUGUGUGAAGUGCUCCCCAAUAGCUCACAGGGACUUUGGGGUAAAUCUGGCCAAUAUGUGAACGUACCCCCUUCAUUCCGAAAGAGAUGCCAGCUAAAAGCCCUGUGUGAAAAACAUCCAGGUAAAACAGUUCAUGGCAUGGAAGUAAACAUUAUCAUCUACUAAUUGCUACAUAGAGAAUUGCUGUUGAAAUCACAUUGGUUUUGGUUGGUUGACAAGACCACAGAAGAGAGAGAAAAGGGGCAGCAUUGUCCUCUUCAGUUUCCAAUAUGGCUGUACCGCCAAGAGCCCAUAGGUUCUCCUGGACCUCGCAUGGCUAUAAAUGCUUCCAAGUGAAGCGCAGCCUAGGCCUUUGCCUGGAUAACCGCUACCUUCUGCUUUAACCACGUCCUACUCUCUUUUUAUCACGGCUUUCCUGCAUGCAGCCCUCCUUCCAUCUCUCUGUCUGCUUGCUUCUGUCCUAGUCUUCCUGACCUUUUAUCUGUCUUUCCACCUGCAGUUUUCCUGCAUCCUUGUUCUGCUCUCCCUUGGGCAGAUACCUUGGCUUGGACUCUAAUCCAUUAUUGCCUCUGACUGGGCCCUCCUAUGCUCCUGUUCUCUGGACCUGGUUUCUAAGUUCUGUUCAGGUGCUUGAGUAGGACCUGUCUCAGAGCUUCCUCUACAUGGUCCACUGCCUGAGCCCCCCAGUGCUGACAAGUACCGUACAGCAAUAUGAGAACAUGUUCCAGAGAUCUCAGUCUUACAGAUUAGAGCCCCUCCAUGGGCUAGUAGUGAAUGGUAUAUUUUGGAGUCAGUUUCUAAUGUUAUGUUUUUCAUGUUAUAUUUUGGACAUAGUUUAAAGCUAUUUUCCAGUUAAGAAGAGCUGCAAGGGAGAUGAAAGGAAAGAACAGAGGGUUGGGUGAUUGACUGUUGUACCUUUUUCAUUGGUUGCUCAGAAGCUAGGGAUGACUUUUAUUUUCAGAUGCUUGGUUUGGGGCAUCGUUUUCUCUCUCUCUCUCUCUUUAAGUUGUAUGUACUCUUUGUAUACCUGAACGGUAAGAGGAAGCAGAGCUCCCAGCUCUAUUAUCGG